This 484-nucleotide ribosomal RNA is filed under the name uncultured bacterium. RNAcentral's name for it is "partial 16S ribosomal RNA". It matches the Rfam family "Bacterial small subunit ribosomal RNA", at positions 30 to 507 of the family's 1533-position model. The record is from RNAcentral.
AUUGAACGCUGGCGGCAGGCCUAACACAUGCAAGUCGAGCGGAUGAAGGGAGCUUGCUCCUGGAUUCAGCGGCGGACGGGUGAGUAAUGCCUAGGAAUCUGCCUGGUAGUGGGGGAUAACGUCCGGAAACGGGCGCUAAUACCGCAUACGUCCUGAGGGAGAAAGUGGGGGAUCUUCGGACCUCACGCUAUCAGAUGAGCCUAGGUCGGAUUAGCUAGUUGGUGGGGUAAAGGCCUACCAAGGCGACGAUCCGUAACUGGUCGGAGAGGAUGAUCAGUCACACUGGAACUGAGACACGGUCCAGACUCCUACGGGAGGCAGCAGUGGGGAAUAUUGGACAAUGGGCGAAAGCCUGAUCCAGCCAUGCCGAGUGUGUGAAGAAGGUCUUCGGAUUGUAAAGCACUUUAAGUUGGGAGGAAGGGCAGUAAGUUAAUACCUUGCUGUUUUGACGUUACCAACAGAAUAAGCACCGGCUAACUUCGUG